RNAcentral lists this ribosomal RNA (426 nucleotides) under uncultured bacterium. RNAcentral describes it as "bacterial SSU rRNA". It matches the Rfam family "Bacterial small subunit ribosomal RNA", at positions 354 to 796 of the family's 1533-position model. The record is from RNAcentral.
GUGAGGAAUUUUCCGCAAUGGGCGAAAGCCUGACGGAGCAAUGCCGCGUGAAGGAUGAAGGCCUAUGGGUUGUAAACUUCUUUUCUCAGAAAAGAAUUAUGACGGUAUCUGAGGAAUAAGCAUCGGCUAACUCUGUGCCAGCAGCCGCAGUAAGACAGAGGAUGCAAGCGUUAUCCGGAAUGAUUGGGCGUAAAGCGUCUGUAGGUUGUUUAAAAAGUAUUCUGUCAAAGAUUAGGGCUUAACCCUAGAUAGGCAGAAUAAACUUUUAAGCUAGAGUUUGGUAGAGGCAGAGGGAAUUCCCGGUGGAGCGGUGAAAUGCGUAGAUAUCGGGAGGAACACCAAAGGCGAAGGCACUCUGCUGGGCCAAUACUAACACUGAGAGACGAAAGCGAGGGGAGCAAAUGGGAUUAGAAACCCGAGUAGUCC